GUCCACGCCGUAAACGAUGGAUACUAGGUGUUGGAGGUAUUGACCCCUUCCGUGCCGCAGUUAACACAAUAAGUAUCCCACCUGGGGAGUACGACCGCAAGGUUGAAACUCAAAGGAAUUGACGGGGCCCGCACAAGCAGUGGAGUAUGUGGUUUAAUUCGAAGCAACGCGAAGAACCUUACCUGGUCUUGACAUCCCGGUGACCGGCUUAGAGAUAAGCCUUUCCCUUCGGGGACAGCGGUGACAGGUGGUGCAUGGUUGUCGU
Molecule: ribosomal RNA, 265 nt
Filed under: uncultured bacterium
Lineage: Bacteria
Description: partial 16S ribosomal RNA
Rfam family: Bacterial small subunit ribosomal RNA
Source: RNAcentral